AGUAAAUUGGUUAAGUUAGAAAGGGCGCACGGUGGAUGCCUUGGCACUAGGAGCCGAAGAAGGACGGGACUAACACCGAUAUGCUUUGGGGAGCUGUACGUAAGCGUUGAUCCAGAGAUUUCCGAAUGGGGGAACCCACUAUCUUUAGUCGGAUAGUAUCCUUACGUGAAUACAUAGCGUGAGGAAGGCAGACCCAGGGAACUGAAACAUCUAAGUACCUGGAGGAAGAGAAAGAAAAAUCGAUUUCCUGAGUAGCGGCGAGCGAAACGGAAAGAGCCCAAACCAAGAAGCUUGCUUCUUGGGGUUGUAGGACACUCUAUACGGAGUUACAAAAGAAAGUUAUAAAUGAAGCGGUCUGGAAAGGCCCGCCAAAGACGGUAACAGCCCGGUAGUUGAAAUAGCUUUCCCUCCAGAGUGGAUCCUGAGUACGGCGGAACACGUGAAAUUCCGUCGGAAUCCGGGAGGACCAUCUCCCAAGGCUAAAUAC
This 487-nucleotide ribosomal RNA is filed under the name Listeria monocytogenes. RNAcentral describes it as "partial 23S ribosomal RNA". It matches the Rfam family "Bacterial large subunit ribosomal RNA", at positions 1 to 473 of the family's 2925-position model. Lineage: Bacteria; Bacillati; Bacillota; Bacilli; Caryophanales; Listeriaceae. The record is from RNAcentral.